ACGGGUGAGUAACGCGUAUGCAACUUACCUGUCAGAGGGGGAUAAUCCGGCGAAAGUCGGUCUAAUACCCCAUAAAACAGGGACCCCACCUGGGGUUAUUUGUUAAAGGAUUUAUCGCUGACAGAUAGGCAUGCGUUCCAUUAGGUAGUUGGUCGGGGUAACGGCCCACCAAGCCAUCGAUGGAUAGGGGUUCUGAGAGGAAGGUCCCCCACACUGGUACUGAGACACGGACCAGACUCCUACGGGAGGCAGCAGUGAGGAAUAUUGGUCAAUGGGCGAGAGCCUGAACCAGCCAAGUCGCGUGAAGGAUGACUGCCCUAUGGGUUGUAAACUUCUUUUAUAAGGGAAUAAAGUGCGGGACGCGUCCCGUUUUGUAUGUACCUUAUGAAUAAGCAUCGGCUAACUCCGUGCCAGCAGCCGCGGUAAUACGGAGGAUGCGAGCGUUAUCCGGAUUUAUUGGGUUUAAAGGGUGCGUAGGUGGGUAAUUAAGUCAGCGGUGAAAGUUUGUGGCUCAACCAUAAAAUUGCCGUUGAAACUGGUCACCUUGAGUAUGUUUGCUGUAGGCGGAAUGCGUGUUGCAGCGGUGAAAUGCAUAGAUAUCACGCAGAACUCCGAUUGCGAAGGCAGCUUACAAAACCAUCACUGACACUGAAGCACGAAAGCGUGGGAAUCAAACAGGAUUAGAUACCCUGGUAGUCCACGCCGUAAACGAUGAUUACUAGGGAUUUGCGAUAUAGUGUAAGUCCUACAGCGAAAGCGUUAAGUAAUCCACCUGGGGAGUACGCCGGCAACGGUGAAACUCAAAGGAAUUGACGG
RNAcentral lists this ribosomal RNA (816 nucleotides) under uncultured bacterium. Its description in RNAcentral is "bacterial SSU rRNA". It matches the Rfam family "Bacterial small subunit ribosomal RNA", at positions 102 to 916 of the family's 1533-position model. The record is from RNAcentral.